AUAGAUAUCACAGCGGCAGUGGCAGAAAUGGCGUGUCCAGACACAUAUCAGAUUAUCCCAACCUGAAAAUCCCCAGUGGAAUGUGCUGCCUAUCUGAUGGCCUGCCACACUGCCACCCAAACCAGAGAGGCGGACAGCCAGGCUGGGCUGCAGACAGAGGCAGGCAAAACUGGCCGGGCCACUUUGCUGCCUGCGUGUCCCGUGGCUGGCGAAAGCCUAGGUUCCUUGGUGCCCAGUGUCUGGUGCCUGGGCACUGUCUUGGUUUCUGUUUAUUCUCCCAGGGUUCAGGUGUAUCAUCUGCAGCUCACACUGGCCUGAAUGUUUCCCUGUCUACGCAGGAUCUCUUGAGGUCUCUACCCCAAACUCCCUCACAGGAUGGCAGGAGAGGAAGAGGCCCCUAUUCAGAGGUCAGAAACUCCAAGAUGGUACUAAGGGGCCUGGCUCUGUCUCUCCAUGGGAGCGGUCAGCUACGGAAGCUUCUGAACCCACAUGUGGGUGCUCUGUCUGGCUCUUGGUUUAGGGACUCCACAGCACUAGAGCUGGACUGUCCCAGGAAGUUUGCAAACGGAAUCUCCUGGGUGAUGGAGCUUGCUGUCUGGUUCUUUCAUCCGCAGCGGCAAAGCCUGACCAGGUGCCAUCUCCUUGGGUUUUCCAAGGAUAAAACGAGACGCGUUGAUUGUCUAGCAGAACCUCAGCAGGUGGCAUCUGACUGACCAGCCGAAGAAGAUGUAUAUGACACAUUCCAAGACAGAGCAGAGUGACUUGGAACAGAGGCCCUGAACCCAACCAGUCACUGUGUGCAUCUGGCUGCCAAUUGGCUGUGGAAGCCAUCACCGGACUCUGGCCUGACCGCCAGGCCUGUGUCUCCCUGAGUCUUUCAGCGCCACAUGUGCAGAAGUGACUGACAACUCCCCACCCCCACCCCACCUCCCCACCCCGGAAGCCGAGGGAGCAUGCGCAGAAGUGUCUGACUCGAAGCCGAGGGUGCAGUGCCGGUGUGGAACACCCACAGGUUUACUUAACGUGUCAUUUUGUCCAAAGGCAAAUGGUUCAUUAAUCCUCACUUUGUCCCUGCCUGUCAAAACCAGCCCGACAGAUUCCAUGGUGCGGCUCACGCACACAGAGCAGGCCAGCUCCUGCGGCUUCAUCUUCUCUGAGCCUCUCUGUAACUGUUGUUAAACUUGGUCACAGCCACGCUGGACUUUACAGAUCCCUAACUUCAAACAAACAAGAAAACAACACCUCUAACCCUCUGUGAUAAGCAAGCAGCUUUAUCAGGCUCGACUCCCACCUGGCAUGCGGACUGGCGACUCCCUGUCCCCAUCUCCGUGUCUCCUGUCCUGGGAAAAGCGAAUCUUGGCUCACCAGCCCAGAGUCUCUGCUCAUGUCUUCAUCCAAGACAACAGCAAACCCCACACACCACUGCUUCACUCUCUUGGGGACCCACUAACUCUUCGUGCCCCUCCAGCACCCUCGACAACUUGGACAACACUACUGUGCCUCAGACUUAUCCAUGGACUAUCUGUACUUUUCCUCAAGACCGGGGCUUCCUGGAGGAGUGGACAUCAGACAACUGCAUAGAUAACAUGUGGAAGACAACCUGGUACAUAACAGCAGCUCAACAAACAGCCAUGGACUGAGUGUACAUCACGGACAGUGUUGUUGAAUUAUUUAUCUACCUUAAUUUCUUUCCUUUGCGUAUUAGCUUGUAACAUCUGUCAGCAAGUUCCCUCACCUCAUCAUUUAUUAUUAUGUCCAAAAUACCUCGGCUAGUCUGGGAUCCCACCCC
Molecule: long non-coding RNA, 1789 nt
Organism: Mus musculus (house mouse)
Lineage: Eukaryota; Metazoa; Chordata; Mammalia; Rodentia; Muridae
Product: predicted gene, 33823
Exons: 3
Source: RefSeq, a predicted model, not a curated record